AUUGAACGCUGGCGGCAGGCCUAACACAUGCAAGUCGAGCGAGCGGCGGACGGGUGAGUAAUGUAUGGGGAUCUGCCCGAUAGAGGGGGAUAACUACUGGAAACUGUUGCUAAUACCGCCUACUGUCGGAUGAACCCAUAUGGGAUUAGCUAGUAGGUGGGGUAAAGGCUGACCAAGGCGACGAUCUCUACCUGGUCUGAGAGGAUGCUCAGCCACACUGGAACGGAGACACGGUCCAGACUCCUACGGGAGGCAGCAGUGGGGAAUAUUGCACAAUGGGCGAAAGCCUGAUGCAGCCAUGCCGCGUGUAUGAAGAAGGCCUUAGGGUUGUAAAGUACUUUCAGCGGGGAGGCGUUACCAGCAGAAGAAGCACCGGCUAACUCCGUGCCAGCAGCCGCGGUAAUUC
Molecule: ribosomal RNA, 406 nt
Filed under: uncultured bacterium
Lineage: Bacteria
Description: partial 16S ribosomal RNA
Rfam family: Bacterial small subunit ribosomal RNA
Source: RNAcentral